Molecule: ribosomal RNA, 253 nt
Filed under: uncultured bacterium
Lineage: Bacteria
Description: partial 16S ribosomal RNA
Rfam family: Bacterial small subunit ribosomal RNA
Source: RNAcentral
UACGUAGGGGGCAAGCGUUGUCCGGAAUCAUUGGGCGUAAAGCGCGUGUAGGCGGCUCGGUAAGUCUGCUGUGAAAGUCCAGGGCUCAACCCUGGGAUGCCGGUGGAUACUGUCGAGCUCGAGUCCGGAAGAGGCGAGUGGAAUUCCUGGUGUAGCGGUGAAAUGCGCAGAUAUCAGGAGGAACACCGAUGGCGAAGGCAGCUCGCUGGGACGUGACUGACGCUGAGACGCGAGAGCGUGGGGAGCAAACAGG